RNAcentral lists this long non-coding RNA (1487 nucleotides) under Macaca fascicularis (crab-eating macaque). RNAcentral describes it as "lncRNA (ENSMFAG00000049057.1)". Lineage: Eukaryota; Metazoa; Chordata; Mammalia; Primates; Cercopithecidae. The record is from RNAcentral.
GGAGACAAUAAAAAUCAGAAAGCAUAAAAUAAGAGAGAACACUUUCCAUGUGUGACAAUUGUGACAAUAAAUAUACAGAUGAUACAGGAUUAAAGUAACAGGGUUAAAUUAAAGCUUUUUACAAUAAUCAUACAAGUACAAACUAGAAAACCAAAGAAGAGGGGGCAAACAAGUUAAAAAGAUGGCUAGAUUGAGAAGUGACACCACCAUGAGACUAGAGUAGGAAAUACCAGUCUUCAUCUUCCCUGCGAAAAAUAAACUAUAGACAGCAAUUUACAAAUCAAAAAAGCCCUAGCAGGGCUCAAAGGCCUAUUAAACAAUCUGCAGCAACACAAUGAAGCAACACAGAUAAUAUCUAAAUAGAAAGGAUAGAAAGGAUCACUGGUGAGAUUAGCAUACCUGAGACACCAGGAGAUGGCUAGGAACAAAGAAAAAAAGCACAGGUUACCAGUAUCAGCCAUGCAGCAGGAACUAUCAUGGUCCCCAGUGGCCUGCUCCACAGAGGACACUAGAAUGCUUUGCUACUGAGGUAACCAACCAUUUACCGCCAGGGAAUCACAGAAAGAGAGAUGUAGCUGCAUUCCCCAUAACCUUACUAUUAAGCCACUAUGAUAAAAGAGCUGCCAUUUCUCCCAAACCUACAUGUGUCUUGAAGCCUGAGCAGCAGCUUUCUUGUGAGUGUCCACCAGACUCAGGCUAUGUAACUAUACCCACCCAUGUCUCAGACACCACAGUCAUCCUUGUAGUGAGUUAGUUCACACUCUGGGCCUGGACCCAAGCUCUCACUGUGCAUGUCUGUGUUCCAGGAUUGGGCUAAGCUACAUAGAGAAGUAGGCCCUGCCUUUACCCCAGAACUGGUGUAACUGCAAACACCUAUUCUCUCAUUCUUGGCUCUCUGACUGCUUCAAAAAACCCUGUUUGUCACAUACUGUUGCCAACAUGGUAGGAGAAUUGACUAUGCCCCACACACCCGUGCCAUUUCCAACCUGGAUCUCUGAACUGAAGUCCUUCAAUACAUGCCUGUACUUUGGGCCUCGGUUCCAUGGCUGCUUCAUGGGUACCACUCAUUGGACAUGGGUACCACUGCAACCAUGAGCAGGCCCACAAACCAGACCCACUGCCAACAAGAAUCCACUUAGCCACAGCUUCCCCAGAGGGAGAAAAAUAGAUCAGGAGAAUCUUAGCAGUCAUUGCCACUGAAGAUUCCAACAACACUUGCAGCCAAUGCAGAUAUUCAGGCCACUGAGGAUCUCGUAAAUAUUUACUGAUAUCAACUUCAGUUGUCAGGGCCACAAAGUAGCUAUAAAGAUGCACCCUCGCUACUGCCAGAACUGUGGCACCUCACCCAGCAAGCACCCAUGCACUCUACCAUAGGAAAAAGUUUUUCCAUCAGGAAACCAACCUAUAAAGUCUGAAAGAGGUGACUCCUCCACCAAGCAUUCAAAUGUCAGCAUAAGGCAACAAGAAACAUGAAAAAAAAAAAAAAA